ACAGGUUGGGAGGAACGAAGGAGAAGCAGAUAGAGGAGAUCCACUCACAGGAUUCUGCGUUGUUGAUUUGUGUGUGGAAGUAUCGUGGGUUUUGCCUGCCUCCAUUGUUGCUCGUCUGCUGAAAUACGUUGGAAUCUUUGCCACGGUGCCUGUCUCUCUGUGCUCAGGUUUAUUGGAGCUCUCAGGUUGUACCCCAGCAGGCCCCUCUUCAGGUCCAGCGGGUUCUCUGCCCUCUAUAGUCCUGCCUAACCCCAUCCCUGACUUUAUUAAGCCAUCGUCCAGCCCUCCCCAGCCCUCCCCCUCUCCCCAGCUCCUCCAGCGGGCAGUAUGAAGUGGGUAAGAGCCCCACAAGGCCCCACAAAGGCCCCCAGCCCAGCAAAGCCGUACAGGAAGACGAAAUGAUCAGUAACAAGGCAAAAGACUCCGGUGGGCGGACAUGUUGAAGUGAAGUUGUGGCUGACUCCUCCCCAACACCGGACGCGGGCCAAUCAGCGCUCACCGUUGCCUACGUCACAGCCUCUUGACCAAUAAACGAGCUGGGACACUCAUAUCACCUCCCGCUGCAGGACAGGGACAACAGGCGAGUGUGGCAGGCCAUCAACUGGAAGGGCUGUUCACAGGAUGAUAAUGAUAAUAAAGUUAAGCCUAUUGAUGAAGAAUUUAAGCAUUUUUACGAAGAUUUACUAGGCAUUGCCACAAGCAACCGUGCUGAUCAAUGCCGAGAUGUUACUGUGUCGAUUCCAGUUUUAGACGAUCUGAUCUCCCCUGGUGAGGUCAGUGCCCAGGUGGAUCACAUCAAGGCAGACGAAGCGUGUGGCCCGGACGGCAUCCCACCUGGAGUGUUCAAGCUGUUACCAGUUCAGUGGUUAAUGAUUAUCACAACUGUUCAGUACGAUAUUUGCCACCGCUCAGCACCCUACGUCCUGGACUAGGGCUAAGUUUUCCACUAUAUUCCAGAAGGGUGACCGGAAAGACACACAGAGGACACAAAGAACCAUAGAGGCAUUAGUGUAAUAAACAGCAUUGCUAAAUUAUUUGAUAUGUUUGUAUGUUCAAAAUUAGAGAAGUGGCUCACUCCGUACCGUGAACAAGCUGGGGCACAGAACAG
Scylla paramamosain (green mud crab) is the source of this 1108-nucleotide long non-coding RNA. RefSeq lists it as uncharacterized. Lineage: Eukaryota; Metazoa; Arthropoda; Malacostraca; Decapoda; Portunidae. The transcript is spliced from 4 exons. The record is from RefSeq and is a predicted model, not a curated record.